UGACGUUCCACUCUUCCUCCCACACAUUUUACCCAGCACAGAGACAGGACGAACUGCCUCCGGGAUGCGGAAACCAGCGAUUAUAGAGCCUGGGAGAUGGUGUCGGGAGAGGGAGGUAGUGAGAGCCGAAGCCACAGGGCCAGAUAUCGAGGAGAGAAAAAACAUGCUACAGAGAAAUAUGAAAUAGAAAAUAAAUACAAAUGCAAGCUGUUCUGCUAGUUUUAUAACCGCGACACACUGGUGCUGAGACAAAACAUCACAAAGUUUCGAAGGUGGUGGUGUUCCUUUAGCACGGCUAAGUCUUCGGAAUUCUGACUGCAGUCCUUCUUUAGGGGGGCAUCACUGGGUCCUUGGCACAGUCCACGCUUUGAACCGGAUUUGAACGGGAGAACCACCACGUGGUCCAGGUGCUAGCAGCGGAAGUGGGUGCGUUGGUGGGUCGCGUGACCCCAGAAGCUCCUCCCCUCGGUGCCGUAGGGUCCUCCAGGUCGUACUUCUCCAGCGCCUGAGUGAUGUGCCCCUAGAGUCUGGAGGCACGUCCGGCUAUUUGCGCCUCUUUGAUCCUCGCCUUCCAGUGGCACGUCGCCCAGACUGCCCUGGCUUGGCUGGCCCUGGCCUCUUCCCGCAGCCCGUCACUGGUGCGGGAAUAGGUGAUCCAGGCAGGGGGGUGACCGUCCCCUUCCAGUGUGAAAAAAUGCACCCAAACUCCGCCCCCCUUUGCGCGUCUCACAGCACGCACACGCAAGCAAGGACUGGAGUUGGGGAUUCUUGAAAGAAGUGAAGCCUCCCAGCGUGCUGGAGGGGAACAACCUUCAGAGGGGGCGCACAAGCCAAGGAGUAACUGCCCCGCCGCGCCCGGGAGCCUGGCUUGGACUGGAGCGCGUGUAUCAGGAGCCAGGGGCUCCUUAAAGGGCACCACACACACUAGCCCCUUCCUCUGGGAGCCAGGUCACUAUGGGACAACUCUGAUUGAGGUCGUAUGUGCUCUAGGACUCCCCAUGGCAUUUCCUGAGGCUUCGAUACUUUUGACUGCUUGUCUGGACUAUUCUUGGGCUGAGCACAUAACAACUGAAUGCUUCUUUAAAAUUAUUUAAUCUCUAAAGUUUCCCAAGAGAAGGAAAAAGAAGAAGAGAAAAGGAAAGAAGAGGAAAGGGAAG
Felis catus (domestic cat) is the source of this 1157-nucleotide long non-coding RNA. RefSeq lists it as uncharacterized. The transcript has 4 exons. The record is from RefSeq and is a predicted model, not a curated record. NCBI's taxonomy places the organism in Eukaryota, Metazoa, Chordata, Mammalia, Carnivora, Felidae.